AACAAGAAGCAAUUGUCUCAAGUUACAAUGCGGGAGGUCUAGGUUGGAUAUUAGGAAAAACUAUUUCUUUAGGAGGGUGGCGAAGCACUGGAAUGGGUUACCUAAGGAGGUGGUGGAAUCUGCUCAACAGGAAUAUGUGCAUACAAGAGGGUGAGUGACUGGGAUGUAAUGAUACCGUGUCUAUUUGCUUACCCUGGAGUGCCCCAAGAGGCUGCAUGGAGUGCCCCAUUUCAUCUCUUGGAUGGGAGAAAAGUCAGAGGGCCCCUGGAUCUCACUGGAGAGAGUCCCUGGAGGGUGGCUCUGAGGCAGAGGGGGAGCUGAUGGCUGAACUUGUGCAAAAGUUUGGGGAAGCUUUAAAGACUAUGAUAGGCAUAGUUCAGGAAAUCACCACUAUGUCAUCUAUGUAGGCCACUGCAUAUUGAGGGUGGGGUUGCAACGCUUGGUCCAUGAGUUGUUGGAAUGUGGCAGCAGCCCCACAUAGACCAAAAGGCCUGGUAACUAAGUGGUACAAUCCAAAUGGGGUAGGGAAGGCUGUCUUCUCAUAGGAAGCCGGGGUCAAGGGAAUUUAUCAACACUCCUUUGUCAAGUCUAGCGUCGAGAUGAAAUUGGCAUUACCCAGUUGCUCGAGUAACUCGUCUACCCAUGGUAUGGGAUAAGCAUAGAAUCACAAGAUCGCAUUCACUUUUUGAAAGUCUAUGCAAAAUUGUAUGGUCCCAUCUGGCUUUGGGACCAGCACAAUGGGACUUCUCCACUCGCUCCGCAAUUUUUCUAUUACCCUCUUGUCCAGCAUAGCCUGGAGCUCCUUUUGGACCACAUCCCAUAUCUUCUUUGGUAGGGGCCGGUGAUUGUCACGGACCCUUUGACCUGGGUGGCGAUGUGGUGACUUACCAGUCUAGGCCACCCUGGGCAGGUCGAUAACUGGACUAGUUGUUGCAGCUCCCCCUGUAGCCUUGGGUACAGUUCUGCCCUGACCAUGAUGGGUGUUGAUGGGGUCACUGGCCAAUGGACCUAGCUCCAGUUCUGGGGGAUACAAGGUGAUCAGCAGCCCCUCCUGAGUUUUCCACUCCUUCAGGAGGUUCACAUGGUAAGUCCGGACUUCCUUCCUUCUUCCCAGUAGCCGUACUUCAUAGUCCACUGGCCCUACCCAUCGGACCACCUUGAAAGGGCCCUGCCAUUUAGCAAGCAGCUUGGACUUGGCUGAAGGUAGCAGGAACAGGACACUAGCCCUGCGUUCGAAAGUGCGCAGCCUUACCCCUCGGUUGUAUUGGUGGGCUUGGGUCUGUUGCACUUGCAGUAGAUUUGCCCGCGUGAACACUCCCAACUUCUGGAGUCGUUCGCAUAGUUAAAGUAUGAAGGGAAGUUAUCCCAGGACCAGGGAUCCCUGCUCUUCCCAAGUCUCCUUCAGGAGUCAAGGAUCCGCCGUGGCUGUCUCCAGUAAAGCAGCUUGAAAAGAUAUCUUUCAGUUACUGAGUCAGUUGGGAUUGUGUGUCUGGGGACUGUUUGAGUCUUUGUUGCCUGGAUCAUCCUUGAUCAGCCUCAAUGGAAAACCAGUUGAACAAUUUAUAACAUUCCUCA
Long non-coding RNA from Dermochelys coriacea (leatherback sea turtle), 1575 nucleotides. RefSeq lists it as uncharacterized. The record is from RefSeq and is a predicted model, not a curated record. Lineage: Eukaryota; Metazoa; Chordata; Testudines; Dermochelyidae. The transcript is spliced from 3 exons.